UACGGAGGGUGCAAGCGUUAUCCGGAUUCACUGGGUUUAAAGGGUGCGUAGGUGGGUUGGUAAGUCAGUGGUGAAAUCCCCGAGCUUAACUUGGGAACUGCCAUUGAUACUAUCAGUCUUGAAUAUUGUGGAGGUUAGCGGAAUAUGUCAUGUAGCGGUGAAAUGCUUAGAUAUGACAUAGAACACCAAUUGCGAAGGCAGCUGGCUACGCAUAUAUUGAUACUGAGGCACGAAAGCGUGGGGAUCAAACAGG
RNAcentral lists this ribosomal RNA (253 nucleotides) under uncultured bacterium. RNAcentral's name for it is "partial 16S ribosomal RNA". It matches the Rfam family "Bacterial small subunit ribosomal RNA", at positions 524 to 776 of the family's 1533-position model. The record is from RNAcentral.